AUGGAGGCCGCUGCGAGGGACGCGCAGAGCGGGCUGGAGUGGCGGGUGACGGUGCCGGAGGGCGCGUCGGUGACGGUGGAGCACGAGGCCGGGCCGGCCGGGAGGGCCUGGGCGUGGCUGGUCGCCUGCGUGCUCAUGCUCGGGGCCACGGUGUCCGGCUUCGCCAAGAAGGUGUGGAAGAUUGGCGCCGACGAUCCGAGGAGAGUGGUGCACGGCCUCAAAGUCGGCGUUGCGCUUACCUUGGUCUCCGUCUUCUACUACACCAGGCCGCUCUACGACGGCGUCGGCGGGGCUUCCAUGUGGGCCAUCAUGACCGUCGUCGUCAUUUUCGAGUACACUGUUGGCGGCAGCGUGUACAAAGGGUUCAACCGGGCCGUGGCGACGGCGAGCGCCGGCGUGCUCGCGCUGGGCGUGAACUGGGUGGCGAGCAAGUCCGGCGACAAGCUCGAGCCGGUCAUCACCACUGGCUCCCUCUUUCUUCUUGCUGCGGCAGCCACCUUCUCGCGGUUCAUACCGACGGUGAAGGCCCGGUUCGACUACGGCGUGACCAUCUUCAUCCUGACAUACAGCCUGGUGGCCGUGUCGGGGUACCGCGUCGACGAGCUGGUGGAGCUGGCGCAGCAGCGGCUUGUCACCAUCGCCAUCGGCAUCUUCAUCUGCCUCGCCGUCUGCGUGCUCAUCUGGCCCGUGUGGGCCGGCCAGGAGCUGCACCAGCUCACGGUGCGCAACAUGGAGAAGCUCGCGGCCGCCGUGGAGGGCUGCGUCGAGGAAUACUUCGGCGAGGAGGAGGGCGCGCAGGCCAAGUCGGAGGGCUACAAGUGCGUGCUCAACUCCAAGGCGUCCGAGGACUCGCAGGCCAACCUGGCGCGGUGGGAGCCCGCGCACGGCAAGUUCGGCUUCCGCCACCCCUACGCCCAGUACACCAAGCUCGGCGCCGCCAUGCGCCACUGCGCCUACUGCGUGGAGACCCUCAAGAGCUGCGUCGGCGCCGAGCUCCAGGCCCCCGAGAGCGUGAAGCGGCUGCUCGCCGACGUGUGCACGAGGCUGGGUGCGCAGUGCGGGCGGGUGCUGAGGGAGGCGUCCAGCUCCGUGGCCACGAUGACGACCUCCCCGGCCCUGGACUUCGCCGUGGCAGACAUGAACACGGCCGUGCACGAGCUGCAGGGCGACAUGCGGGAGCUCCCGUUCACGCUGGCCGGGGAGCCGGAGGAGGCGUCGCUGAUCGACGCCAUGCCGCUCUUCACCGUGGCGUCGCUGCUGACGGAGAUAUCGACGAGGAUCGAGAGCGUGGUCGACGCCGUGGACACGAUGGCCAGCCUCGCCAGCUUCAAGCAGGCGGACGAUGAUGACGACAAAAAGGGAGACGCCGAGCUGAAAACGAAAGUACAUCCAUUGAACGAGACAGACUCCGAUGAGCCACCUGAAGAAAAGAAAACAACCAAACCUUCUGAGCAGGUUUAG
This 1461-nucleotide ribosomal RNA is filed under the name Triticum aestivum (bread wheat). RNAcentral's name for it is "partial small subunit ribosomal RNA". Lineage: Eukaryota; Viridiplantae; Streptophyta; Magnoliopsida; Poales; Poaceae. The record is from RNAcentral.